GUAUGCGAUCAUACAAGCACUAAACCAUCGGAUCCCAUCAGAACUCCAAAGUUAAGCGUGCUUGGGCGAGAGUUGUACUAGGAUGGGUGACCUCCUGGGAAGUCCUCGUGUUGCAUUCC
This 119-nucleotide ribosomal RNA is filed under the name Triticum aestivum (bread wheat). Lineage: Eukaryota; Viridiplantae; Streptophyta; Magnoliopsida; Poales; Poaceae. The record is from RNAcentral.